GAUGAACGCUAGCUACAGGCUUAACACAUGCAAGUCGAGGGAAACGACAUCGAAAGCUUGCUUUUGAUGGGCGUCGACCGACGCACGGGUGAGUAACGCGUAUCCAACCUGCCCACCACUUGGGGAUAACCUUGCGAAAGUAAGACUAAUACCCAAUGAUAUCCCACGAAGGCAUCCGAAUGGGAUUAAAGAUUUAUCGGUGAUGGAUGGGGAUGCGUCUGAUUAGCUUGUUGGCGGGGUAACGGCCCACCAAGGCAACGAUCAGUAGGGGUUCUGAGAGGAAGGUCCCCCACAUUGGAACUGAGACACGGUCCAAACUCCUACGGGAGGCAGCAGUGAGGAAUAUUGGUCAAUGGGCGAGAGCCUGAACCAGCCAAGUAGCGUGCAGGACGACGGCCCUAUGGGUUGUAAACCGCUUUUGAUUGGGAACAAAGAGCGCCACGUGUGGUGCGUUGCGUGUACCUUUCGAAUAAGCAUCGGCUAAUUCCGUG
RNAcentral lists this ribosomal RNA (491 nucleotides) under uncultured bacterium. RNAcentral describes it as "bacterial SSU rRNA". It matches the Rfam family "Bacterial small subunit ribosomal RNA", at positions 28 to 507 of the family's 1533-position model. The record is from RNAcentral.